UAAAUUUCUGUUAUUUAUAAACAUAUUAAUGUAUUAUUAUGUUGUUUUUUCCUUUUGUUUUUUGGUCUGUAGAAUUGAUCUAUUUCCUAAUUCUGUUUUUUUUUUUUUGAUAAGUCUAUUACCUAAUUCUGUUUUGAUGUCCUGGGAUCCUACUUAGAGUUGUGGAGGUAAUAACUAUCAAAAAAAAAAAAGAAGAAGAAGAAGAAGAGUUGUGGUAGUAACAACCUUACAUAUGUGAAGGGUGGGAAAAUCUAGAUGUAUCAUUUGAGUAUUUGGCUUGUUCUAGGUUUUCAUAUCCAUGUCUGUAGUUGUCUAAAACUGAUGAUGCAUUUGAUAUAUGCAUAAAACACACAUGACAUAUACAAAGAAAUGCCAAAAGGCAAAAA
Molecule: long non-coding RNA, 386 nt
Filed under: Vitis vinifera (wine grape)
Lineage: Eukaryota; Viridiplantae; Streptophyta; Magnoliopsida; Vitales; Vitaceae
Description: long non-coding RNA (VVIN_LNC001162)
Source: RNAcentral